Molecule: ribosomal RNA, 303 nt
Filed under: uncultured bacterium
Lineage: Bacteria
Description: partial 16S ribosomal RNA
Rfam family: Bacterial small subunit ribosomal RNA
Source: RNAcentral
AGCAGUAGCCGCGGGAACACGGAGGGUGCAAGCGUUAAUCGGAAUUACUGGGCGUAAAGCGUGCGUAGGCGGCUUCUUAAGUCGGAUGUGAAAUCCCUGAGCUUAACUUAGGAAUUGCAUUCGAUACUGGGAAGCUAGAGUAUGGGAGAGGAUGGUAGAAUUCCAGGUGUAGCGGUGAAAUGCGUAGAGAUCUGGAGGAAUACCGAUGGCGAAGGCAGCCAUCUGGCCUAAUACUGACGCUGAGGUACGAAAGCAUGGGGAGCAAACAGGAUUAGAUACCCCCGUAGUCCCUGUCUCUUAUAC